RNAcentral lists this ribosomal RNA (195 nucleotides) under uncultured Lactobacillus sp. Its description in RNAcentral is "partial 16S ribosomal RNA". It matches the Rfam family "Bacterial small subunit ribosomal RNA", at positions 337 to 524 of the family's 1533-position model. Lineage: Bacteria; Bacillati; Bacillota; Bacilli; Lactobacillales; Lactobacillaceae. The record is from RNAcentral.
UCCUACGGGAGGCAGCAGUAGGGAAUCUUCCACAAUGGACGAAAGUCUGAUGGAGCAACGCCGCGUGAGUGAUGAAGGGUUUCGGCUCGUAAAACUCUGUUGUUGGAGAAGAACGGGUGUGAGAGUAACUGUUCACAUCGUGACGGUAUCCAACCAGAAAGCCACGGCUAACUACGUGCCAGCAGCCGCGGUAAU